GAGAUGGCCGUCGCCCCGAAACCCCCAUUCGCGCCUCAUCCCGCUGCACACUCCCCACCCUCCCCGCUAGGGUUUUGCCACCAUAGUCGCUGCCGUUGUAUAGAGGCUCCUCUCCCGUCGCGCCUCCUCGUUAUCCCUCUUCGUGAUCCUCCGCCGCAGUGCUGCCCAGGAGCAGUCGCUGCUGGUGCACCUAGCCAUCCUCGUGACGGUCUCCUGCCUUGGCUUCUAGCACGAUGGCAUGGUGGGGACGGCUACGUCUCGACGUGCCCCGGCUUCCCCUCCGCUCCUCGUGCCUCGUAGUAGCGAUGGAGUCCCUAGGCGUGCGGUGGCGGUGGUCACCAACUGGUCAUCUUCUCUAAAGGUCACCCAUUUCUCCUAUUCCUCAAUCGGACGACGCUGUACCAAAUCUCCACACGUUGCUUGGGUUGCUUGGUAUGCUAGAACCGAUUCGGUUGAUCGACUGGUUGGUACAUGUGUCGUUUGAUUGACUGGUUGGAAUGGGUACUUUUCAUGGGAAUCAGAGGUAAAUUUAGGUUUCAUAUUUUUUUAUUUAUUUGCCACUUUUGUUUAUUUAUUUUUCACUCUUGUAAUUGUUGCUCUUAGGACCGUGGUUGUUGAUUUGUUGUCCUCUAAUUCUCUAGUCAUUAGAUAUUUGGUAGACCUCCGCUUUAUUUUCAUGGAACCUUAGCUUGUUGCCCUAUUAACCCAUAACUGACAUAAAGAUGUCCUUCACAAUCACAUAUUUGUGCAAAGUGAGUUGCUGUAAGGCUCCAUCCGAAGAAUUUAGAGGAUUUAGCUCAUGGUGCUGACAUUGGUAGUUGUGUUGAGUUGCAACCAGUGUAUUAAAUCGCGGGCUAAGAGGUUUAGCGGCUGGGUUCCAGAACAGCUAAGUCCAGCUAUAACCGGCUAUAGCGGAAGCUAAACAUUUUAGCGGAUUUGCAAAAAAAUAGAGUAUAAAUUUAACACAGAUGAAUAGACGACAACUUUGAUAGUCAUACAUAUUGCCAUACAUAUAGGAGUUCAGCUCUAUACAUGACUGCUGUAAAAUGUCUGAGCAGCUUAACUUAAAACAAAAUGUCUAAGCUCCAAGACAUUGAGAUCAUUAGUUUAGUUCACAGUUCACCCAAAAUGACUGUCCACAAGGUCAAAUAUAACAUUGUAAUCUAGCAUCAAUCAGAAUCAAAGGCAUGUGGAGACUUAUCAGAUUCAGAGGAUUCCAUUGCAAUGUCACCAUCUUCUGAAUCUGAUGAGGACUGCUGCACUUGAACUUGAACAUCACGCAUCAGAGACUGGAGGCUUCUUAACUUCUUUCUAGGCUUCAUAGACCUCUUUCUUUUUGCUUGUACUUGAACUUGUGCUUGUGAUGUUUGUUCUCCCUGUGAUCUUCCAUCUUGCGCUGGUUCAACAACAUCAUUCGGAAGAGGUACAAUACCAGUAAUGAAUUCAUUGUCAUCAUCACCAACAACAUCAUCUACUUCCCUCUCUAAAGGAUGUUUGUCUAUUCUCUCCUUCUUUCCCCUUAGCUUGGAGUUAAAUUUAACAAACACAAGGUCUCUCAUCCUAUCAUGAAGUAGCCUGUUUCUCCUUUUUGUAUGAACCUAUGAGUGAAAUUGUGAACAUAAGAUAACAUGUUUGAAACAAGAUUUGAAACAGUACAAUAAAUAUGGUUUUCUAUGCAUUUGGAUAGUAGAGCUUGCAGUUUUACUACUAAAAAUAUUCACAAGUGGCCAAAUAGAUCCCACAUAAGUGUAUUUACCUGUUCAAAUACGGACCAAUUUCUCUCACAAGCUGAGGAACUACAUGUUAGAUUUAGAAUUUUUGAAGCCAAUAUCCUCAGAUUAGGUGUGUUUGUACCAUGGUUUAGCCACCACUUUGCUGCAUAAACAAGUUAAUAAUUACAUAAUUGUGAAAGAGGCAAGAAACAAAUUGAAUUCUGAAACCAUAUAUUCAAAAUAGAAUCACCUGGAUUAAAGUUCUUGUUUCUCCUUUGCCUUAUGGCAAUUUCAUGUCCAAAUGUCCCUUGUUGAUCUUGGUACAUGUAGAGUUCUUCAAUUAUUUUGUCUUGUGUUUCUUCAUCACCAAUCAUCUUUGUAAUGCAAUUAAUCACUCCAGAUCUAAAGGAUCCAUCAUGCUCAUUUCAGACUUCUUUGGAUAAUAAAAGUAAGGAUUCAAGUAGUACCCAGCUAAGUGAAGCGGAAUUUUGAGCUUGCUAUCCCACCGCUUAUCAAUAAUAUCCCAAGCAACUUUGUAGCGGCUCUCAUCAUUGUCAAACCUCUCAGAAAUUUCUUUCUUUGCCUCAAGCAUUAAUCCAUGAAAGAAUUCCAUUGCCGGUACAUCACUGUCCAGUCUCCUCAACACAUUUGCCAAUGGUUCAAAAAAAUUUACAGCUAUAUCAACAUUUUUCCAAAAGGUUUCAGAUCUCACAACUUUAUUGGCUUUCUUUCCCUUGUCCUUUUUCAAGUAACCCAACUCAUUAAGUUCAUCUGAUCUGAACAACCUUGUCAAUUCUUUCUUGUUAUCAAGCAAGCUUUUCAAGUUCAAGUAGGUAGUAGCAAAUCUAGUAAUCCUAGAUCUCACCAAGUCUUUCUUCAGAAACUUUCUCAUCAAAUCUAACACCCUUGUGUGAGCAUACAAGAAAUUAGUGAUCUGCCUUGCACUUGUGAUAGUUUGCUCCACUGGCUCAAGCUUCCCAUGAUCCUCUAGCAUGAGAUCUAGGCAAUGAGCAGCACAUCCAUUCCAAAAUAUUGAGGGCCUCUUUGCUGUCAAUAGGCUUGCUGCUGCUGUAUUGACACUAGCAUUAUCAGUCACCACUUGGACAACAUUUGCCUCCCCAAUCUCCUCUAUGCAUUUGUCCACAAGGUCAAAUAUGUACUUACCAUCUUUUCUCUCACCCGAGCAGUCCACUGAAUCUAAGAAGCAAACUCCAUGAGCACUAUGGACGACUAAAUUCAUCACUCCCCUACCCUUCCUAUCUGUCCAUGCAUCUGUCAUGAUUGUACAUCCUGUUUGCUCCCAUGAUUCCUUGUGGUUCUUGAAACCAUCCAAUACCUUUUGUUUCCUUUUCUGCAAGAAUGGUCCACUCAUCUCAUAAGGACUAGGCCCUCUCAAACCUUUACCAAAUUGCCCAAUGGCCUCAAGCAUAAGUGCAAAGCUAGGAAGGGUGACUGUGUUGUGUGCAAUACUAGCUUCAUAAAAAAACUGACAUAUGUACUCACAAGCCUUAUCCCUUCUCUCUUCUCUUUUCUGAGUUGACAAUGUUGUUUGAACCUUGUUGCUAAGGUUAAUUCCUUUAUGCAUCAUCUGAACAGAUUCUUCAAUAGUAGAAGGUUUAUAAAAUCUGUCAAUAGUGCCACCACGUACCACUGUUCUACAGCUAAGGCUACUAGAACCUUUUGUUGGCUUUUGCUUCACCACAAGGACUUCAUUCCCAAGAUCAAUAUCCACUUGCUCACAACUUUCAUCUUCUGAGAUGUCUAAGUUAAUUUCAUCUCUCUCUUUCCUUUUCUUUUGCUUUAUGGUCCUUUUCUUCUGUAUUCUUUGUAAGCAAAGCAAUCAUAUCUUCUUUCACAUCACUUGGAACCUUCAAACACUUUGUAACAUUAUUCCCUUUAAUACCAGCAAGGUGCCACUUAAUUCUUGUAAUCCCAGCUUUGCAUAGCUUGUCACAGUACUUGCACUUCAGCCAAUGCUUCUUGUUUGCAUCUGGGCAAAAACAAUGAGCCCAGGCUACAUCAUCUGAGUUGAUAAUAGCUUGUGGUGCUGCUGCAUUUGAUACAGAGGCAGAGGCGACACUUGAUGGAAUAACUACACAAUUUGAAGACACAUAAUGCAUAAUAUUAGGAAAAUGAAAAGCUUUAAAUAGAUGAACAUCUAUUGAAGAAUGUGUUGCAGCCUACCGCCUACAUCAAUGGAACUACUACAACUAUUUUAAUCACGUAUAAAGCAAGAUACUGAUAAGAAAUUUAAUUGUCAUUACAGUAUUGCUUGCCACUACGACGUACGUUCUGGCAUGUGAAACCUUGACUUCUUCAAAAAUACGAGUUGCAAUAUUGCUUGUAUUCAGGUUUCAAAGUAUAUUCGUGUUGGAAAUCCAUAAAAAGCAGUUAGCGCUAACCAAAUGUUCAUCAAGCUUGUGAGCCAGAGUAGGGAUCAAUAACGAAACAAAAAAAUAAGUAAAAAUCAUGAACGCUAAUUAUUCCACUGCAUUAAAAAAAUAAGGUAAACUGGUCGAAGUGGAUACAUUUGUCAGCAAGAACAUUUCUUCACGUUAGCACCAUCUUAAAUUAUAGUUCAGCUGUUGACCAGGUUUAGGUACAUGGUACACGGAGAAGUCAAUAAAAUUGUUUUAAAAAGGUAUCAAUAGAGUGUCCAGAUUGUUAAUCUAUUUGCAAUAUCAAAUGCCCCAUCGCAGCUCCACCUUUUUUUUGCAGUGUCUAUACUUUUAUAUAUAUCCACCAUGGAAUAUUUUGAAUUAAAGUUCAUCUGAAAGAAAUAGGAUGAUACUCAAGUGAAUGAUACGGUAAAACAAUCAUAACUACAAGUCAAUUGGUUGUCUCAAAAGACAUCGACGGCAGAAGUAAAGACAAACCAUGAAACCGUAAAAGAUGUGGAGCUUACUUUAAUCACCAAAAAAAUGCUGCAGAAAACAUAGCUACAAGGGACUACACUACAUGUCACAUGAACAUCUAUUGAAAAAUACAUGCCUGUUUGCUUCUCUUGCUGAGACAUGGUGUCGGCCGGUUCAACUGAACAACAAUUGGAGGUUGGAGAGUGGAGAGAAUACUAUUGGAGUGCUGCCCUGAUUGUUGCUACUUGCUUCAUUGCUUGCCGCUAGCAGGGAACCAACGUGUUGAACUUGAACUGUUGAAGCUAGCCGCCGCCAUCAGGUUGAAGCCAGCCGCAAGUGCCUUUUGGAAAUGAGAGUCUGAGCUAGGGUUUGCAGUUUUGCACAAGAAAAGGCAGAGGGAGAUAAUGGGCUGGGUCGGACGCGCGCAAGAAAAUGGCCCAGGUUUGAUUUAGCUGCCGCUAGAAGAUGGCCCAUUUAACGGAUUUCGCCGGCUAAUAGCGGCUAAUAGCGGUCAGCAAGCAAUAGCGGCAGAAUUGUAAUCUCCUAGCGGCAUUGUUUGCCAGAAGCGAUCUCCGGCGAUAGCGGCAGCGAUCUCCGGUGAUUUAAAACAUUGGUUGCAACCAGAGUCCAAAAGCCUGAACUGAAGAAAUAUAAUUGGAUCUGCGAGUCCUAUAAAUUUGAUGAGGUCUUCAGUGAAAGUGCUUCACAAAAAACUGUGUAUGAGGAAGUUGCAAAGCCUAUGGUUGAUGUAUCUUCCUCUAGGAUGCUUUGACCUCAGAGAAACGCCAUUUAUUUCAUCUAAGGUUCCUUCUGCUGGUAUUAAGUCUUCUAAAAAACAUGAAUAUUAUGGUAGGUCGCUGUCAUGCAGCGCAUGAUUACAAGCACGGUCUUUCCUGUGGUAGACGAGGAUUAGUCUAGCACUAUGCCAAGGUAUAAAAGUUGUGGAUGGAGGAUGGAGGUUGAUUCUUGUGCAUGCUUGUAAAUUGUAAACAAUGCUCUGAGGCUAUAUAUCGGUGUUUGGCCCGCGGGUACUGAACCAACCAAUAAAUGUGCUGCAUGACUGACUCUAGAUGGUGUGCAAGAAGACACAAGCGAUUAUGCUAUUUUAGGCUACUCAAGGCCCUACUUCCAAUAGAGAGGACACGACUUAUAUUACUCGCACCAUGGUGCGUGUAAUAGGGGUUUACAAUCAUUGUGGGAGAGGGGAAAUCCCCAAGUCCCUAGAUAUGAUUGAGGCAAGUUCCAAUAUCUAAGACAAAGUGGAGAAGUGAGCGUUUGUCUAUGUGUGUCGAUGUGUGGGUGUCGAUCUUGAUCCCCGGUCCGUGGAGGGACCACUGCCCUAUUUGUACACCAAGGAGAGCGUCCUUAGUGAAGCCGGGUCUUGUAUUCGAAGGAGAGAUGCCUGGCGUCUAACGUGACGAUGAAUUGUGCAGUUGAUUCAUGCCUGCUCACUUCUCGUAGAGAGCCGAGGCCGCCCAUGCUAUAGUGGUUGUCAGGGGCGGAUUCAGGCCUGUGGCCACUAGAGCCCAGGCCCUACUCUUGGGCCGACUAAUUGUGUAAUAGCAGCCCAAAAAAUGUGAAUAGUAACCAUAAAUAGCCCAACUAGUUCGGUUUAGGGUUUGGCUAUCUAGCGUCUGCGUAUUGGAGCCGAGAGCAAGAGUAGAUAAGCAAGUAGCCACCAGCAAGCAAGCAGGAAGUAGCCUAGCAGCGCAGCCGAGCAGAGCAGGAGCAGCGAGCAGGCAAUCCGGCGGCUGGGCAAGCAACAAGCAAGCAACUGCGCGCAGGGACGGAGGGACCGGCCACCGACUGGUUGGGCAAGCAAAAGCAAGCAGCGACUGCUUGCAAGCAGCGGCCUGCAAUUGCAAGCAAGCAGCGAUUCGAGCCGCGCCGCAUAGGGGGCUGGCCGGCCGGGCAAGGCAAGCAAGCAGCGGGCACCGGGCAGCGACGCAGCGCAGCAAGCAGGAGCAGCAAGCAGGCAAGCAGAGCAGCGCAACAAGCACCAAGCAGGUUUGUUGACUGUUGUUGUUUGACACCGAGAAAAACAUGUUGUGUUUGUGUCUAGAAAGUUUCAUAAUUCAUAGCGAUUUGUGUUACAAUUACAGUGUACAAUAUGAAGAGAGUUCGAACAAUUACAUCAUUUUAUAAAGUCGUGUCAUAUCAAGAA
Long non-coding RNA from Zea mays, 6731 nucleotides. RefSeq lists it as uncharacterized. The transcript has 5 exons. Lineage: Eukaryota; Viridiplantae; Streptophyta; Magnoliopsida; Poales; Poaceae. The record is from RefSeq and is a predicted model, not a curated record.